This 404-nucleotide ribosomal RNA is filed under the name uncultured bacterium. Its description in RNAcentral is "bacterial SSU rRNA". It matches the Rfam family "Bacterial small subunit ribosomal RNA", at positions 355 to 776 of the family's 1533-position model. The record is from RNAcentral.
UGGGGAAUCUUGCACAAUGGAGGAAACUCUGAUGCAGCGAUGCCGCGUGAGUGAAGAAGGCCUUUGGGUUGUAAAGCUCUUUCGUCGGGAAAGAAAAUGACUGUACCCGAAUAAGAAGGUCCGGCUAACUUCGUACCAGCAGCCGCGGUAAUACGAGGGGACCUAGCGUAGUUCGGAAUUACUGGGCUUAAAGAGUUCGUAGGUGGUUAAAAAAGUUGGUUGUGAAAUCCCGGAGCUUAACUCCGGAACUGCAAUCAAAACUUUUUAGCUAGAGUAUGAUAGAGGAAAGCAGAAUUUCUAGUGUAGAGGUGAAAUUCGUAGAUAUUAGAAAGAAUACCAAUUGCGAAGGCAGCUUUCUGGAUCAUUACUGACGCUGAGGAACGAAAGCAUGGGUAGCGAAGAGG